AAUAAUCUUAUUUUUCGUUUUUCCGUGUUUAACGUUUGACCAUUCAUCUUAUUUGAAAAAUUUAUAAAAAACUUAAAAAAAUUAGUCACACGUAAAGUAUUAUUCAUGUUUUAUCAUGUAGUAAGAAUAAAAAUAUUAAUCGCAGAUUUUUUUAAAUAAGACGAAUGGUCAAACGUUGGACACGGAAAAAC
Molecule: non-coding RNA, 191 nt
Organism: Oryza brachyantha (malo sina)
Lineage: Eukaryota; Viridiplantae; Streptophyta; Magnoliopsida; Poales; Poaceae
Source: Rfam